GGCUCUCUACCCGUUGGUGACCUGUCUGCUGUGUGUCAGCCAGAAGCAUUUCUUCCUCAACAAAUGGACUGUCUUCCUCAACAACUGCCUCUCCAACAUCAAGAGUAAGGACCCCAAGAUGGCGCGUGUUGCCCUGGAGUCUCUUUACCGUCUUCUGUGGGUCUACAUGAUCAGGAUCAAGUGUGAGAGCAACACUGCUACGCAAGGGCGUCUCAACACCAUCAUUACAACACUCUUCCCCAGGGGCUCUCGCAGUGUGGUGCCCAGAGAUAUGCCCCUCAACAUCUUCGUCAAAAUGAUCCAGUUUAUUGCACAGG
Molecule: long non-coding RNA, 317 nt
Organism: Oncorhynchus keta (chum salmon)
Lineage: Eukaryota; Metazoa; Chordata; Actinopteri; Salmoniformes; Salmonidae
Exons: 3
Source: RefSeq, a predicted model, not a curated record